UAGGGAAUCUUCGGCAAUGGACGAAAGUCUGACCGAGCAACGCCGCGUGAGUGAAGAAGGUUUUCGGAUCGUAAAACUCUGUUGUUAGAGAAGAACAAGGACGUUAGUAACUGAACGUCCCCUGACGGUAUCUAACCAGAAAGCCACGGCUAACUACGUGCCAGCAGCCGCGGUAAUACGUAGGUGGCAAGCGUUGUCCGGAUUUAUUGGGCGUAAAGCGAGCGCAGGCGGUUUCUUAAGUCUGAUGUGAAAGCCCCCGGCUCAACCGGGGAGGGUCAUUGGAAACUGGGAGACUUGAGUGCAGAAGAGGAGAGUGGAAUUCCAUGUGUAGCGGUGAAAUGCGUAGAUGUAUGGAGGCACACCAGUGGCGAAGGCGGCUCUCUGGUCUGUAACUGACGCUGGGGCUCGAAAGCGUGGGGAGCAAACAGG
RNAcentral lists this ribosomal RNA (429 nucleotides) under Gemmatimonadota bacterium. Its description in RNAcentral is "Gemmatimonadetes bacterium partial 16S ribosomal RNA". It matches the Rfam family "Bacterial small subunit ribosomal RNA", at positions 355 to 776 of the family's 1533-position model. Lineage: Bacteria; Pseudomonadati; Gemmatimonadota. The record is from RNAcentral.